Molecule: ribosomal RNA, 1404 nt
Filed under: Pediococcus pentosaceus
Lineage: Bacteria; Bacillati; Bacillota; Bacilli; Lactobacillales; Lactobacillaceae
Description: bacterial SSU rRNA
Rfam family: Bacterial small subunit ribosomal RNA
Source: RNAcentral
AACGGAACUUCCGUUAAUUGAUUAUGACGUACUUGUACUGAUUGAGAUUUUAACACGAAGUGAGUGGCGAACGGGUGAGUAACACGUGGGUAACCUGCCCAGAAGUAGGGGAUAACACCUGGAAACAGAUGCUAAUACCGUAUAACAGAGAAAACCGCAUGGUUUUCUUUUAAAAGAUGGCUCUGCUAUCACUUCUGGAUGGACCCGCGGCGUAUUAGCUAGUUGGUGAGGUAAAGGCUCACCAAGGCAGUGAUACGUAGCCGACCUGAGAGGGUAAUCGGCCACAUUGGGACUGAGACACGGCCCAGACUCCUACGGGAGGCAGCAGUAGGGAAUCUUCCACAAUGGACGCAAGUCUGAUGGAGCAACGCCGCGUGAGUGAAGAAGGGUUUCGGCUCGUAAAGCUCUGUUGUUAAAGAAGAACGUGGGUAAGAGUAACUGUUUACCCAGUGACGGUAUUUAACCAGAAAGCCACGGCUAACUACGUGCCAGCAGCCGCGGUAAUACGUAGGUGGCAAGCGUUAUCCGGAUUUAUUGGGCGUAAAGCGAGCGCAGGCGGUCUUUUAAGUCUAAUGUGAAAGCCUUCGGCUCAACCGAAGAAGUGCAUUGGAAACUGGGAGACUUGAGUGCAGAAGAGGACAGUGGAACUCCAUGUGUAGCGGUGAAAUGCGUAGAUAUAUGGAAGAACACCAGUGGCGAAGGCGGCUGUCUGGUCUGCAACUGACGCUGAGGCUCGAAAGCAUGGGUAGCGAACAGGAUUAGAUACCCUGGUAGUCCAUGCCGUAAACGAUGAUUACUAAGUGUUGGAGGGUUUCCGCCCUUCAGUGCUGCAGCUAACGCAUUAAGUAAUCCGCCUGGGGAGUACGACCGCAAGGUUGAAACUCAAAAGAAUUGACGGGGGCCCGCACAAGCGGUGGAGCAUGUGGUUUAAUUCGAAGCUACGCGAAGAACCUUACCAGGUCUUGACAUCUUCUGACAGUCUAAGAGAUUAGAGGUUCCCUUCGGGGACAGAAUGACAGGUGGUGCAUGGUUGUCGUCAGCUCGUGUCGUGAGAUGUUGGGUUAAGUCCCGCAACGAGCGCAACCCUUAUUACUAGUUGCCAGCAUUAAGUUGGGCACUCUAGUGAGACUGCCGGUGACAAACCGGAGGAAGGUGGGGACGACGUCAAAUCAUCAUGCCCCUUAUGACCUGGGCUACACACGUGCUACAAUGGAUGGUACAACGAGUCGCGAGACCGCGAGGUUAAGCUAAUCUCUUAAAACCAUUCUCAGUUCGGACUGUAGGCUGCAACUCGCCUACACGAAGUCGGAAUCGCUAGUAAUCGCGGAUCAGCAUGCCGCGGUGAAUACGUUCCCGGGCCUUGUACACACCGCCCGUCACACCAUGAGAGUUUGUAACACCCAA